This 27-nucleotide non-coding RNA is filed under the name Rattus norvegicus (Norway rat). Lineage: Eukaryota; Metazoa; Chordata; Mammalia; Rodentia; Muridae. The record is from RNAcentral.
UUAGAUGAGUAAGACUGCUUUAGCAAG